Molecule: transfer RNA, 72 nt
Filed under: Phaeobacter phage MD18
Lineage: Duplodnaviria; Heunggongvirae; Uroviricota; Caudoviricetes
Rfam family: tRNA
About the family: Transfer RNA (tRNA) molecules are approximately 80 nucleotides in length. Their secondary structure includes four short double-helical elements and three loops (D, anti-codon, and T loops). Further hydrogen bonds mediate the characteristic L-shaped molecular structure. tRNAs have two regions of fundamental functional importance: the anti-codon, which is responsible for specific mRNA codon recognition, and the 3' end, to which the tRNAs corresponding amino acid is attached (by aminoacyl-tRNA synthetases). tRNAs cope with the degeneracy of the genetic code in two manners: having more than one tRNA (with a specific anti-codon) for a particular amino acid; and 'wobble' base-pairing, i.e. permitting non-standard base-pairing at the 3rd anti-codon position.
Source: Rfam by way of RNAcentral
CCGCUCGUAGCUCAAAGGAAGAGCACGGGGCUCCUAUCCCCGGGGCUGUAGGUUCGAGUCCUACCGGGCGGG